Panicum virgatum (switchgrass) is the source of this 358-nucleotide long non-coding RNA. RefSeq lists it as uncharacterized. The transcript is spliced from 2 exons. The record is from RefSeq and is a predicted model, not a curated record. Lineage: Eukaryota; Viridiplantae; Streptophyta; Magnoliopsida; Poales; Poaceae.
AGGUCCUGCUGUUGGAAGAAGAUCGACGCCCGGACGCCCAGAAGACCCAGGAGGACGUCCCGGACUACGAGAAGACCCCGAGGACCUCGGAAGACUACGAAGAGCUGCCAGUUUGGCAAGAUGCAGGGUCCGAUCAGGAGUUCGACGCCAACAACAACGGAUGGUACGAUUGAAGCUUAGAAGCCCAUGCUACGCUCAAGUGCUGCCUGUGGAGAUGAAGUUCGAGUUGAAGGAUGGCCUGAAGACCAGCUACCGCUACCGUUUUCUGUUUGUUCCAGUUUAGCCCAAUGGGCUUGUAAUAAAAGUUUUGUACUGCAAAUCCUCUGGAUAUUAUAAUAAUUAAAUCUAUGUUUGAACC